This is a non-coding RNA of Cucurbita pepo subsp. pepo (vegetable marrow), 432 nucleotides long. Lineage: Eukaryota; Viridiplantae; Streptophyta; Magnoliopsida; Cucurbitales; Cucurbitaceae. The record is from RefSeq and is a predicted model, not a curated record.
CUCUUGUGCUGAUUUUGUCCAUAAAAUUCAGAUUCCUUUGAGACCAUGUGAAGACUGCGGUGGUUCAGGCCUAUGUUCUGAAUGCAAAGGUGAAGGGUUUGUGCUGAAGAAACUGUCGGAUGAAAAUGCAGAGCGUGCACGGUUGGCUGCGAAGAACAUGGCAACUCGGUUCACCGCAGCGCUUCCUAAAAAAUGGAGCUACUGUUCCAAGUGUUCUUCUGCUCGUUCUUGUAGUACUUGUGGUGGCACGGGGACGUUCAACUCUUAGUCUUACAACCCGACAAACUCCUUAUAUCUCCGUGUAUCUUUCUAUCUCGUAAAUUUUUCUCAUUAGGAGUAUUCAAAGAAUUCGAUGACUUGAAAAAUUUAAUCAACCCAAUCUAAUUUGUACGACUUGGAUUGGGUUGAGUUCAAAUAAAUAAAUUUUUUAUA